This 229-nucleotide ribosomal RNA is filed under the name uncultured bacterium. RNAcentral describes it as "partial 16S ribosomal RNA". It matches the Rfam family "Bacterial small subunit ribosomal RNA", at positions 524 to 753 of the family's 1533-position model. The record is from RNAcentral.
UACGAAGGGUGCAAGCGUUACUCGGAUUACUGGGCGUAAAGCGUGCGUAGGCGGUUUGUUAAGUCCGUUGUGAAAGCCCUGGGCUCAACCUGGGAAUUGCAGUGGAUACUGGCGAGCUAGAGUGCGGUAGAGGAUGGUGGAAUUCCCGGUGUAGCGGUGAAAUGCGUAGAGAUCGGGAGGAACACCCGUGGCGAAGGCGGCCAUCUGGACCAGCACUGACGCUGAGGCA